This is a long non-coding RNA of Pezoporus flaviventris, 325 nucleotides long. RefSeq lists it as uncharacterized. The record is from RefSeq and is a predicted model, not a curated record. The transcript has 3 exons. Lineage: Eukaryota; Metazoa; Chordata; Aves; Psittaciformes; Psittacidae.
GAUGAGCUGGCUGAAGGGGAGGCAGAGGCAGAGAAGGGAUUCUAUUAAUGGAAGGAAGAGUGAAAGAGAAGGAAGCUCAGGAAGGUCUCAUAGAAGAUUCACAGAGAAAGUACCAAGUGGCAAUACACAUUCAAGCUUUUUUUUGCUUUUGUUUUUAAACUUUAUCUUCACUUGCAACGUAAUCUGGCCACCAGUGUUUAGUUCUGCAAACAUCUCUGCUGCUUCAGAAUACAGAACAUUGUUAUAUCGAUACGACAACAGCACGCUGACACAUUGUGAUGAAAUUUGGUUGCUGUAUCGUGAAACACCCAUACUGACAUUUCAC